AAAUUGUACCUCCCGGGGAUGGGCUGUAGCUCAGCGGCAAAGUACUUGCCUUGCAAGUGCAAUGUUCUGGGUGCAAUCCCCAGUACCACAAAAGGGAAGACCACCCUCACCAAAGAUGUACCUUCAAUAUUGUAAUAUAUUGCUGUGUAAAUGUGCUCAAAAUAAUCUGGAGAUAAAAAUAUGUAUUUCUAACAGAAAUAGAGGCAUAUCUAAAUUAUAGCAUUUAAGCAAGAUCUUCAUUUUGAGUAAACAUGACAAUUUCAAAUGUACAAAACCAAUAAUACAUAGCAUACAUUCAUUUUAUACUUAAAAAAAACUAAGCUUAAGAAAAUAAAAAUGAGAAAUGAGGUAGUCAUACCAAAUGAGUAAUAUUUUGACAUUCUAGUAAAUAGAAGACUGUAGAAGAGCUAAGAAAAAGAAAGCUGAGGCAUUCCAAAGA
This is a long non-coding RNA of Dipodomys spectabilis (banner-tailed kangaroo rat), 439 nucleotides long. RefSeq lists it as uncharacterized. NCBI's taxonomy places the organism in Eukaryota, Metazoa, Chordata, Mammalia, Rodentia, Heteromyidae. The transcript has 3 exons. The record is from RefSeq and is a predicted model, not a curated record.